This 1004-nucleotide long non-coding RNA is filed under the name Capsicum annuum. RNAcentral describes it as "long non-coding RNA (CANN_LNC021601)". The record is from RNAcentral. Lineage: Eukaryota; Viridiplantae; Streptophyta; Magnoliopsida; Solanales; Solanaceae.
UCACACUUUAUUUUUAUUGUGUUUAUUUUUCGAUACUCCGUAAGUGAAUGCUUAUUAUCUAUGGCUAAAUGGCUUCUACAAUUUCCCCCAGCCAAUUUUUAUGUUCUAAUGACCAUUGUGGUGAUUAAUUAUCCAUGGGGCCAAUCCCAAUCAUUAAUCUAAUUGUUAAGAGUGCGUAGCAUGUAAAAAAACUGUAUAUCAGUGUUAGGAUGGUUUUGUAACUAUGCUCUAAACUUAAAUGUUUUAAUUAUAUUUAUUUAUUUGUAUAUAUAUGAGUUUUUCUAGCCUACUACUUGAAGGUAGUAGGUUAGCACCCUCUCCACUUUUUUCGUUUACUUAGUGCCCUUCAUUAUCAACACAUCAUUGAAACGGGUAUUUGUGUUUCCUCACUCACUUACUUCCCUGCCUAACCUCUCCUUGAUCCCCUUCCUUUUGUAAAGUACCAUAUCCAUUUUUGAUCUACCCAAAGUACUCAUGCCACUUCUUGAAGUCCCUUGAUGUGUCAGAGGUAAUUGUGUUAUUUUAAUACAAACAGGAAAAACGAAGUUGUGAUUUCAUCAUUAUUCAAAAUCCCUUUAUCCCAUCACAGUAGUAACACAGCUUCUGCAGGGAAGCACUUUUAUUUUCCAUGUUGAACUUGCAAAUAUUCCUGUUUGGGUAAUUUCAUGACAAAGAGAAUGUGAACAAUUCUUUUUUAAACAAAAGGUUAACUGAAGCAAUAGAAAUCAGUUAGCUUUUCUAAUCCAAUUAAAAAUUUUGUACUUUUGCUUCCCAUCACUCCUAAAACUUUUUCUUACAACAUUCAACCGUAGUCUCUGCUAUGUUCGACGGGAAAUUCACCUUCCCAAAUUCCAUUCCUUUGACAUACCCUCAACUUCAUCUUCAUCUGCACAAGAACAAUGUUGCACAUUUAUCUCAUCAACUUUAACAAUGGCUCCAACAUUUUUCCAAUAAUCUAUACUCCAUAUCAUUCUAGUUCUUCAUUCUUCUUUCUUAUCUUGUAC